RNAcentral lists this ribosomal RNA (201 nucleotides) under uncultured bacterium. Its description in RNAcentral is "partial 16S ribosomal RNA". It matches the Rfam family "Bacterial small subunit ribosomal RNA", at positions 633 to 832 of the family's 1533-position model. The record is from RNAcentral.
CUACAGGGCUUGAGUACGGGAGGGGAGAGUGGAACUUCUGGUGGAGCGGUGAAAUGCGUAGAUAUCAGAAGGAACGCCGGCGGCGAAAGCGACUCUCUGGUCCGAAACUGACGCUGAGUGUGCGAAAGCUAGGGGAGCAAACGGGAUUAGAUACCCCGGUAGUCCUAGCCGUAAACGAUGGGCACUAAGUAGAGGGGUUUU